GCCUUCCUGGUGUAGUGGUCAGCACACUCGACGCAUAAACCAGAGGUCCAUGGUUCAAUUCCCGGCGAAGGCU
RNAcentral lists this transfer RNA (73 nucleotides) under Stegodyphus mimosarum. It matches the Rfam family "tRNA". Rfam says of the family: Transfer RNA (tRNA) molecules are approximately 80 nucleotides in length. Their secondary structure includes four short double-helical elements and three loops (D, anti-codon, and T loops). The record is from Rfam by way of RNAcentral. Lineage: Eukaryota; Metazoa; Arthropoda; Arachnida; Araneae; Eresidae.